GAUGAACGCUGGCGGCGUGCCUAAUACAUGCAAGUCGAGCGAACAGACGAGGAGCUUGCUCCUCUGAUGUUAGCGUCGGACGGGUGAGUAACACGUGGAUAACCUACCUAUAAGACUGGGAUAACUUCGGGAAACCGGAGCUAAUACCGGAUAACAUGUUGAACCGCAUGGUUCAACAGUGAAAGACGGUCUUGCUGUCACUUAUAGAUGGAUCCGCGCCGCAUUAGCUAGUUGGUAAGGUAACGGCUUACCAAGGCAACGAUGCGUAGCCGACCUGAGAGGGUGAUCGGCCACACUGGAACUGAGACACGGUCCAGACUCCUACGGGAGGCAGCAGUAGGGAAUCUUCCGCAAUGGGCGAAAGCCUGACGGAGCAACGCCGCGUGAGUGAAGAAGGUCUUCGGAUCGUAAAACUCUGUUAUUAGGGAAGAACAAAUGUGUAAGUAGCUAUGCACGUCUUGACGGUACCUAAUCAGAAAGCCACGGCUAACUACGUG
This 497-nucleotide ribosomal RNA is filed under the name uncultured bacterium. RNAcentral's name for it is "partial 16S ribosomal RNA". It matches the Rfam family "Bacterial small subunit ribosomal RNA", at positions 28 to 507 of the family's 1533-position model. The record is from RNAcentral.